RNAcentral lists this small RNA (213 nucleotides) under Pseudomonas paraeruginosa. RNAcentral's name for it is "PhrS". It matches the Rfam family "PhrS". The record is from RNAcentral. Lineage: Bacteria; Pseudomonadati; Pseudomonadota; Gammaproteobacteria; Pseudomonadales; Pseudomonadaceae.
AUCGAGCAACACCCAACCGGCAACUGGAGGCCAUCAACAUGUUCAUCGACGAAGUGGUUCUCGCAGGGAUUCUUACGGUAGGCCUCAUGGUCGCUUUCUUCGGUGGGGUCGGUUACUUCAUCUGGAAGGAUUCCCACAGCCGCAAGGGCUGAUCCUUCCCGAUACACAGAGCACGCAAGGCACUUAGGGCGACUUCGGUCGCCCGUUUUUUUG